GACGUAGGGCGCGAGCGUUGUCCGGAUUUAUUGGGCGUAAAGAGCUCGUAGGCGGCUUGUCGCGUCGUCCGUGAAAACCUGCAGCUCAACUGCAGGCUUGCGGUCGAUACGGGCAGGCUAGAGUUCGGUAGGGGAGACUGGAAUUCCUGGUGUAGCGGUGAAAUGCGCAGAUAUCAGGAGGAACACCGGUGGCGAAGGCGGGUCUCUGGGCCGAUACUGACGUGAGGAGCGAAAAGCGUGGGGGAGCGAACAGG
Molecule: ribosomal RNA, 254 nt
Filed under: uncultured bacterium
Lineage: Bacteria
Description: partial 16S ribosomal RNA
Rfam family: Bacterial small subunit ribosomal RNA
Source: RNAcentral